Molecule: ribosomal RNA, 173 nt
Filed under: uncultured bacterium
Lineage: Bacteria
Description: partial 16S ribosomal RNA
Rfam family: Bacterial small subunit ribosomal RNA
Source: RNAcentral
ACUCCUACGGGAGGCAGCAGUUGGGAAUCUUGCACAAUGGGGGAAACCCUGAUGCAGCGACGCCGCGUGGAGGAUGAAGGAUUUCGGUCUGUAAACUCCUUUUACAGGGAAAGACUUAGGACGGUACCCUGUGAAUAAGCUCCGGCUAACUACGUGCCAGCAGCCGCGGUAAU